Molecule: transfer RNA, 69 nt
Filed under: Mus musculus (house mouse)
Lineage: Eukaryota; Metazoa; Chordata; Mammalia; Rodentia; Muridae
Also listed under: 1 other name
Rfam family: tRNA
About the family: Transfer RNA (tRNA) molecules are approximately 80 nucleotides in length.
Source: Rfam by way of RNAcentral
AUGGCUGUAGCUCAGUGGUAGAGCACUUGCCUAGAAAGCAUGAGGUCCCAAGUUCAAAUCCCAGCCUUG